This 77-nucleotide small nucleolar RNA is filed under the name Chlamydomonas reinhardtii. RNAcentral's name for it is "CrCD02b snoRNA". The record is from RNAcentral. Lineage: Eukaryota; Viridiplantae; Chlorophyta; Chlorophyceae; Chlamydomonadales; Chlamydomonadaceae.
CGAGCCCAUGACGAAAACUCACUUUGCGGUUAUGAGCCUGAACAACAUUGAUGUCAAUCUAAAGUGCCUGAGGCUCG